AUUGAACGCUGGCGGCAGGCCUAACACAUGCCAGUCGAGCGGAUGAAGGGAGCUUGCUCCUGGAUUCAGCGGCGGACGGGUGAGUAAUGCCUAGGAAUCUGCCUGGUAGUGGGGGAUAACGUCCGGAAACGGGCGCUAAUACCGCAUACGUCCUGAGGGAGAAAGUGGGGGAUCUUCGGACCUCACGCUAUCAGAUGAGCCUAGGUCGGAUUAGCUAGUUGGUGGGGUAAAGGCCUACCAAGGCGACGAUCCGUAACUGGUCUGAGAGGAUGAUCAGUCACACUGGAACUGAGACACGGUCCAGACUCCUACGGGAGGCAGCAGUGGGGAAUAUUGGACAAUGGGCGAAAGCCUGAUCCAGCCAUGCCGCGUGUGUGAAGAAGGUCUUCGGAUUGUAAAGCACUUUAAGUUGGGAGGAAGGGCAGUAAGUUAAUACCUUGCUGUUUUGACGGUACCAACAGAGUAAGCACCGGCUAACUUCGUG
Molecule: ribosomal RNA, 484 nt
Filed under: uncultured bacterium
Lineage: Bacteria
Description: partial 16S ribosomal RNA
Rfam family: Bacterial small subunit ribosomal RNA
Source: RNAcentral